AGGAAUUUUUUUCUUUCGGACGCGGGCUCGGCUCACCUCGCUCCGUCCGCCACUGCAGAAGGAGCUUCACCAGCGCAGGCCAUGAGACGCUUUCUGCCGAGCUCUGUGGCGGCGUCGUGUGCGGGGCGCGUCCUGCAAUACGCCGCUGAAUGGUACCACAUGCCGGGCUGGAAAACGCAAUCCAGCACGAAGGAUGCCCGGUCGCGUGAACAACGCGAUAGGGACCGGAAGGCGCGUCAAAUCGAGAAGCUGCCCCGCCCAGAGGCACUGCACGACUUUCAAUACCCGUAUGAGAAAACGAUUCUGUCGGACAGCAUGUUCGAGUACCCUGUGUAUGAGACGGAGCUCGACACACCGCAUCUCUUCAACUUGACCCCGCCGCCGGAUUUUUUCAUUUACUGGAACGCUACCGAUUUCGAGCGAACGGCCUACCCGCCGGUUCCCGAAGACGACCACCGCGUGCUCGUGCCAUCGUCGCAGUCGCCACGCUGGAUCGAGCAUCGCGCCUGCCUGCUGCGGUACCUGCGCAAGCACGAGAUCAUGCCGCACUACGUCCCGCAUAUCCACGCCAACGUGAACCUCUCUGUUGUCUUUCCAGGUCAGUACAACACACGUGCACGGCUCACGGACGAGAACGGGGACAAGAUUCCGCCGCCGCCGGCGCAGACGAAGAUGACGCCGCGCAAUUUUUGGUUCACGGCGCAUUGCGGCAACUACAUGGAGCUGACAGACGUUCAGCAACCACCGAGCGUCUUCCUUUUUGAGGAAGCGCCUGCCGCCGCGAGCGCAGCUAGCAAUGCUGGAGAAGCAGCUGAUGCGACUCGCAAGCAGUCUUCACACGCGGCUGUGAACUACUACACGUUUAUCAUGCUUUCCCCUGACUACCCGUAUCGCGUGCCACUCUCGCACGAUCGGCAGAGGGCUGAUCGUGGCUUUUUCCUUAACUACAUGGUAGCUAAUCUGAGAGCUCCGCAAGCGUUUCCCACGGUGGACGGCGCGGUCGUGGACACGGAGGGUCUGCAUAGCAAGGGGGACGUUGUUGUCCCCUACGUUGCCCCGCUGCCCACCGAGGACGCAGGAACGACGCGGCAUCUGUGCCUUCUCUUCAAGCAAACCAACCACGUGCCACACGUGAAGCCGAUGACAGCCACCGAGGAGCAGCGGGACUUCCCCCUAGCUCAGCGCAGCAAUUACCGCCUGCACAGUGCUCUCACGAAGCAGUCCGGGCUGAAGGUGCUACCAAGCGCUUCAGCGGCCUGCUUAGCCAGCCUGCGCGCCGUCGAGGGGGCGAUCCCGGCAGACCCUUGCGCCGUUACCUUCUUCACCACCAAGUGGGACAUUCAGGUCCAGGAGUACUAUGAGAAAGUCGGGCUACCUGAACCGGCGGCGCCAGUCGACGAGGAAAUCGAGGCUCUCCUAGAGUUCCACGCGAUGCGACCAGAGAAGCUGCGCGUGCGCGCGCGCCACCGCCCAGAUGGGUCGGUAAACAUGGGCGAUGACCCGCACUUCUGGGCUCAGGCGCUACCAACGCGCAGCAUGGACGGGAGCAUGCAGCGUGGUUUGGGGUGGUCGCGGCGUACGACGAUGGGGGCCAACGGUGUACCUGUGGUGUAUCCGCACUGAGCAGCUGCGCAGAUGGGAGGUGUAUCUAGCGGCGGCAGUAGCAGCGUAUGAGCUCUGUUUAGCGGUGGCGGCGCAUCCGUUCGCGUACCGUGUUUAAGAAAAUGCCGGAACUGCGGGGCACUGCCCAGCGAAAGCUCCUGCGUCAUUGUGGCCAGCACGGCGAUGGCAAUGUUGCGCCUGUCACCGUCCGCACGUGUAGGUGUGUGCAGGUGUGUGUGUGUGUGUCCGCGUGCCACAAUCCAGGCUUGGAUCUUGCUGUUUCUUGCGCUGCCGGCUUUUUUUUCUCCUUUUCUCGCUUGGGGGGGGGGACGGCGGGGACGUGUUUUUCAAGCGGAAGAGGUGCGCCCUCUUUUUCUCUUACACAAAGCAAGGGCAACCGCCCAUGGCAACACCGGAAAGGCGCUGUUGGGCGCGUGGUGGCGACUCAGAGUUGGAGAGCCUCGUGUGCGCUCGUGCCCCUCCGAGGGGGUCUCCUCGACGUAUCUCAGCUAAAGGUAAGACAGGCGUGCUCUGAGCAUUAAACGUUCAGCGCACGCUGAUGCUCGUGCUUCUGUUUUCUCUGCGUUUG
Molecule: unclassified non-coding RNA, 2191 nt
Filed under: Leishmania donovani
Lineage: Eukaryota; Euglenozoa; Kinetoplastea; Trypanosomatida; Trypanosomatidae
Description: gene:LdHU3.32.2340(CDS-product:Phosphatidylethano lamine-binding_protein_putative)
Source: RNAcentral